GGGCGUGGUUCAAUGGUAGAACGGAAGCUUCCCAAGCUUUAGACGAGGGUUCGAUUCCCUUCGCCC
This 66-nucleotide transfer RNA is filed under the name human gut metagenome. It matches the Rfam family "tRNA". From Rfam's summary of the family: Transfer RNA (tRNA) molecules are approximately 80 nucleotides in length. Their secondary structure includes four short double-helical elements and three loops (D, anti-codon, and T loops). RNAcentral also lists the same sequence under 1 other name. The record is from RNAcentral.